UCUUGCUUGCCCAUUGGAACUGCUUGCUUAACAAGUUUUCUUUAAGGGAAAUGUCAUUCUAUUACUAAUGUAUACAUAAGGGGAAAAGUCUGAGGUAGUUGGACUCAUUUGGGGACUCUUUUGGACUCUCCCUCUGGAUACAUCUUGCGGUCCCCACCGGCAGACGGAAAAUGUGGCCACCGGAAGCCUGUCGCUGUGUCACUCGAAAGCCACACUCAGCCUUGAUAUCCCGGGAAUAUAUAUGGAUGUAGAGAUUUCCAAUUUGCCACUGAAAUCAUCUGGCCUCUUCUUUCAAGGGAAGAAUACACUGUUUGCUCAAUGGGCAAAGAGAGCAUUAGAAGAUAUGAAUAUCAGACAUUUUCAGAAUGGAAAUGUCCAUCUGGCUCUUCAAGCCUACCUUCUCCCUUCCCCUUUUAUCUUUAGCUUAAUCCCAUUUUCCUGCUUUUUCACCACACCCUCAAUGCCUUUAUUUUCCAACAACAAAUAAAGGCAUCACUUAAAUUCA
Long non-coding RNA from Chrysemys picta bellii (western painted turtle), 505 nucleotides. RefSeq lists it as uncharacterized. Lineage: Eukaryota; Metazoa; Chordata; Testudines; Emydidae. The record is from RefSeq and is a predicted model, not a curated record.